AGAGUUUGAUCCUGGCUCAGAUUGAACGCUGGCGGCAUGCUUUACACAUGCAAGUCGAACGGCAGCAUAGAGAGCUUGCUCUCUGAUGGCGAGUGGCGAACGGGUGAGUAAUACAUCGGAACGUGUCCGUUUGUGGGGGACAACCACCCGAAAGGGUGGCUAAUACCGCAUAAGACCUGAGGGUGAAAGCCGGGGACCGCAAGGCCUGGCGCGAACGGAGCGGCCGAUGACUGAUUAGCUGGUUGGCGGGGUAAAGGCCCACCAAGGCGACGAUCAGUAGCUGGUCUGAGAGGACGACCAGCCACACUGGAACUGAGACACGGUCCAGACUCCUACGGGAGGCAGCAGUGGGGAAUUUUGGACAAUGGGGGCAACCCUGAUCCAGCCAUGCCGCGUGCGGGAAGAAGGCCUUCGGGUUGUAAACCGCUUUUGUCAGGGACGAAAAGGUGCGGGUUAAGAGCUAGCACUGAUGACGGUACCUGAAGAAUAAGCACCGGCUAACUACGUGCCAGCAGCCGCGGUAAUACGUAGGGUGCGAGCGUUAAUCGGAAUUACUGGGCGUAAAGCGUGCGCAGGCGGUUGGGUAAGACAGAUGUGAAAUCCCCGGGCUUAACCUGGGAACUGCAUUUGUGACUGUCCGACUGGAGUAUGUCAGAGGGGGGUGGAAUUCCAAGUGUAGCAGUGAAAUGCGUAGAUAUUUGGAAGAACACCGAUGGCGAAGGCAGCCCCCUGGGGCAAAACUGACGCUCAUGCACGAAAGCGUGGGGAGCAAACAGGAUUAGAUACCCUGGUAGUCCACGCCCUAAACGAUGUCUACUGGUUGUUGGAGGGUAAAACCUUCAGUAACGAAGCUAACGCGUGAAGUAGACCGCCUGGGGAGUACGGUCGCAAGAUUAAAACUCAAAGGAAUUGACGGGGACCCGCAC
Molecule: ribosomal RNA, 926 nt
Filed under: human gut metagenome
Description: bacterial SSU rRNA
Rfam family: Bacterial small subunit ribosomal RNA
Source: RNAcentral